CCUUUUGUAUAAUGGGUCAGCGACUUAUAUUCUGUAGCAAGGUUAACCGAAUAGGGGAGCCGAAGGGAAACCGAGUCUUAACUGGGCGUUAAGUUGCAGGGUAUAGACCCGAAACCCGGUGAUCUAGCCAUGGGCAGGUUGAAGGUUGGGUAACACUAACUGGAGGACCGAACCGACUAAUGUUGAAAAAUUAGCGGAUGACUUGUGGCUGGGGGUGAAAGGCCAAUCAAACCGGGAGAUAGCUGGUUCUCCCCGAAAGCUAUUUAGGUAGCGCCUCGUGAAUUCAUCUCCGGGGGUAGAGCACUGUUUCGGCAAGGGGGUCAUCCCGACUUACCAACCCGAUGCAAACUGCGAAUACCGGAGAAUGUUAUCACGGGAGACACACGGCGGGUGCUAACGUCCGUCGUGAAGAGGGAAACAACCCAGACCGCCAGCUAAGGUCCCAAAGUCAUGGUUAAGUGGGAAACGAUGUGGGAAGGCCCAGACAGCCAGGAUGUUGGCUUAGAAGCAGCCAUCAUUUAAAGAAAGCGUAAUAGCUCACUGGUCGAGUCGGCCUGCGCGGAAGAUGUAACGGGGCUAAACCAUGCAC
This 589-nucleotide ribosomal RNA is filed under the name Escherichia coli. RNAcentral describes it as "partial 23S ribosomal RNA". It matches the Rfam family "Bacterial large subunit ribosomal RNA", at positions 604 to 1194 of the family's 2925-position model. RNAcentral also lists the same sequence under 2 other names. Lineage: Bacteria; Pseudomonadati; Pseudomonadota; Gammaproteobacteria; Enterobacterales; Enterobacteriaceae. The record is from RNAcentral.